RNAcentral lists this ribosomal RNA (498 nucleotides) under uncultured bacterium. RNAcentral's name for it is "partial 16S ribosomal RNA". It matches the Rfam family "Bacterial small subunit ribosomal RNA", at positions 30 to 523 of the family's 1533-position model. The record is from RNAcentral.
AUUGAACGCUGGCGGCAUGCCUUACACAUGCAAGUCGAACGGUAACAGGUCUUCGGAUGCUGACGAGUGGCGAACGGGUGAGUAAUACAUCGGAACGUGCCUAGUAGUGGGGGAUAACUACUCGAAAGAGUGGCUAAUACCGCAUGAGAUCUACGGAUGAAAGCAGGGGAUCGCAAGACCUUGUGCUACUAGAGCGGCCGAUGGCAGAUUAGGUAGUUGGUGGGAUAAAAGCUUACCAAGCCGACGAUCUGUAGCUGGUCUGAGAGGACGAUCAGCCACACUGGGACUGAGACACGGCCCAGACUCCUACGGGAGGCAGCAGUGGGGAAUUUUGGACAAUGGGCGAAAGCCUGAUCCAGCAAUGCCGCGUGCAGGAUGAAGGCCUUCGGGUUGUAAACUGCUUUUGUACGGAACGAAAAGCCCCGGGUUAAUACCCUGGGGUCAUGACGGUACCGUAAGAAUAAGCACCGGCUAACCACGUGCCAGCCGCCGCCGCAG